CCUCACAUUAACAGACUUAUAACAACUGAGCAGUUUUUAUUUAAAAAAAGCAAUAUUAUAGACCUGUGAACAGCUAUAGAGCCACUCGUUUGGGACUUUGUAAUAUGAAGCACAUUAUGAUGUUUUUCACUUAAAAAAGGUGCUCUUUGAAUAUAUUUCACAACGCCAACUUUCACAGCACUUUUGGGGACACAAGAGCGCAAAAAGCUCUACAAAUAUGUCCCACAAAAUGUCCUUCGUCGUGUUCUUUUGGUGAUGCAUUAAGUUUUGAGGAGGCCAAAGGGGGCAAUUCAGACUUGUCCUUUGUCUCAGUGUAUCUUGACUUGGGAAUGUGAAAUGUCUUUAAAUCACAGGGAGGGAUCUUCAACUCUGUCUGGAGAGUCAGAACAGAAAGAAAGUCCAACUUUUUAGUACUUUACAUAAAAGAAUGCAUUUGUUGCAGAAGAAGCCGAUUUAAAUGUGUCAACGGUUCCUUACAUGCACUUUUUGACUGGUUAGUCGAAGGCCAGAGAUGUAUAAAACAUGAGGUCAAAUUUGGUCUAUUUUUAAUCUGUCCCCUGAGUUGUUAGAUAAGACGGCACGAAGCCACCAUAACGAUGACGUGUGCACAAAACAGAUACUUUUGCCCGUCGAACCCCUUCAAUUCAGCGAUACUUGACUUAUGACGCAAUCCUGCUCGCGCCCUUGCACGUGGCACUUUCAUUAUACAGAUUCACAAGCUCCACCGCGGGAGGGGACGCCGUUGUUUUGUGGAAAAGAAAAGCUCCUCUAGUCACUCAGCCUUGGAGUGUCUGCCAUUAAACAUUCACCCUAACACCCAAAUCAUACGGCCGUGUCUUCAUGGAGCGCAGCUCUGAGAUGGUGAAUCGCUCCCAUCCCGUGUCUCUGAUAUGCCGUUUUUUUUUAUUUUUAACCUCAAACGGGGUCACAGGUGUUGUAUUGCCAAACUGGAGAGCUUUAGCUGCAUUUCCGAGUGCGAGAUCCUCGGAUGGAAAGUCCAUGUGCAGGCAAACGCUUUGAUGAAAUGUUUCCAUUAAUCAGUGUCUACUUCGCAGCGCAUUGUUCUUGGCUGCACUGUAUUGACACCAGUGCCAUUCCCACUACACCUUUUUGUUUCGUGAUUUAUUAGAAGUAUUCGGGAUGAAUUAUUUCCGGAAGAAUUAAGCCAAUCACAGCUUUGUCGGUGACAUUAAGAAAAGGUGAUGUCUUCUUUUGACAGAGAGAGAAAAUGUGGCCAUGAAAGCAGGAUGGGCACGGAAUGGAUUGAGAAAGCUUUUCUUUUCAUAUCUAUUGUUGUAAAAAUGACAUCAGGCAAGAAAUACCGAGCAACUGUUCAAGGUCCUUACUGACGCUCCACAAUAAAUCAAAAGGCUUGGAUUAUUUUUUAAAUGGCGCUACCAAAACCCUAUUCAUGAAUAAACAGGUUUUGUUAAGGGUUCGGAAAGCUCUCGAGGGAGGCCUCACUCCUUUGUUCUCGUCCCGGCCGGAAACGAAGAUACAAAUGAGCCAGCUUGCUUAAAUUCAAAAAUCAAAAAAGUAUUAACGUUAUAAGGAAUACAAUUACAAAGUGAAAUACAAAACGAACAGUAAAAUAUUUUGUGAAAUUGAUGAGUCACUUUAGACUUCAGGCUUCAGGAAAAUUCUAACAGUCCUUUCCCCGCUUUGGUCAUUUGAAAACUCUUGAGGUGUGUCUUCUUUGGUGCGUUUGAAUGUCAUUGGCUUCUCCUUCAAAAUGUCUCCUCCUGGACUGUCCCCUUCACAUCGAGGUGUGAAGCUGCAGCUGUAACCUGAAACCUCACAUUCCAAUACAUUCAAUGUAGAUACAAUUGGCUUUAUGCCUCAAUGAGUGAAUAUAACAAAGCAUGCAGUUUAAGUCUUCAUCUUCCAACUAGUACACUUUAAUUAAAACACAUCAUAAAUGAUCACCGUUCAUCACACUACAUCAUACGAUUUAAUACAGUUACACAUUUGCCUCAAUCGGCUGUCUUACAUUCAAUUGCUCAUCUACUACCUGACAGUGUGUUUGAUUCAUAUUGCAUUUACUUCAUCUAACAUGUUAAUGUAAUAACUAAUAUAUAAUGACACAAACUACAAUUCUAAGACUAAACAUUAUUACACGUGUUAUAAUUUCCUCCACCAGGGGUGCUCUUCUUUCUUAAAUCCCUAACAGUUUCAAUUGAUUCUUCGUCACAAAAGUCCUUUAUUUUAACUUAACUAAUUGUACCUUGCUUUUGUUACCUAAGUCACCUGAUUAUCACCAUUUAAAGUAUUUUACUGCCUUAACCUGUACUGCAGGGGGUUGUAGAUCUCGAAAUAACUCUUAAAUAGAUGUUGUAUGAGGACACAUUGCUGUCGGAUGCACAUGUAUUUUAAAACUGAUGGCUUAUGGCAAAAUAAUAACCUCUAGCACACUUGAACAUGAUUCCAGACUGCAAAUGAAAUAGAUAUUAUGUAUCCAUUCAGUCUGAUUAUCUGUGUGGUAAACUCCCAUUGCUGCUUUUACACUCUCCUGCUGUUUCUGUCUCCACAUAAUGUUCCUAGUUGCUCCAGUUCAGAAAAGCUGGUCGGCCAACAUUGCAUCUUAGAUGGGGGUGAUGAGUAGUUUGAUGUUAAAAUAUUGAUGUUGCGUAUAUUUUAACAUCCUCGGGCAUUCUGUCAUUAUUAGUUUUUACAGUAAAGAAAAUAAUAAAUAAAAUAUGAAUUCCCUGUUACACUAAUUGUAGCCUACGGAAUAUUUUAUUCAGUCCACAGCCUGUGAGCGAGACAAACACACAAAAAAAAUAAUUCUAAAACAUAAUACAAAGAAGAGCCUUUGCAAUAAUAAAUAAUAAGUUAACGCAAAGUAAACUCUUGGUGUAUUGGUGGAGUUACUUCCUUUAACUGGUCACUACAGGCUUCUGCAGUGUGCACAUGCUCACGUUGAUUAAGACGGACCGGUGCUGCCGCCCUGGACAGGUCAGUGACCAAUGUGAUCCUGAUCCUGACCAAUGCGAUCCCGCCGGACGGCAAUGAUCACAAGAGUAUCCGUGUGACGGAUGUGACACGCAGACACAAGCUGGAGAAUCUUGAAGGUUCUUUCAUCUCGUGUGGAGGUCCGCCCGAGCGGCGGGAUCAGCACAAUUUAUUGUCAAAACACUGACAAUAACUGGAAAAUGAUGAGAGGAGGCAGCGAGACAGUUUACUUCUUAUCAUUAAUUAAAAAAAUUAAAACAUGAUUUAUCUUGCCGGCGUGGAAUCUCAUCUGAAAAACAAUAAAACAGCUUGUUUUACUUUGAUAAUCUCAAAGAAUACACGCGGUGACUUGCUAUGUGAUGAAUGAUGAAUAAUUAUGGGAGGUUGGUGGUGUUUGAUAUUCAUCAUAUGCUGGAUUGAAGAAAAAACUAGAACACUUGAAUUCAAUAAUUCAUAUGCAUUCAGGGGGAGUUGGAAAUAUAUUACUGUCUCCAUCACAUCUCAACAGCCCAUUUGUAUGGAAGAUACGGUAGCUGCAACUUCUCACGGUCCGAACCAUGUAUUAAUAAACAUAAUAUAUGUCAUCGCUUUACUGAAUUUACAAGGUUGCAAGAGGAAUAUCACACUAACACUAUCAUUUUGGUCAAUUAAUAGUUUCAUACUUCAUACCGUAAUUCAUGCCACUGAUUCAUUUUCAACAUCUGGGAAACGAAGAUGUUCUGUAAUCUCCUGACUAGUCCAUUUAUCUCUUUUCCUUAACCUAGGAGGUUAGUCCUAGUUUUAUGAAGGCAGAAGUUUAUUAUAAACUGUGGAUGGAACAAUUGUUUAUUGAAAUGUUGCAGUAAGUGGAGCACCAUAGUUUGAAGCGCCAACCAAGAGUGUCGGGUUUGAGAGAAUUUCAUCCUAAUUCUUACAAAGUAUUUUGUCCUUGACUUGAAGAAAUACCAGACGGACACUCUUCAGUGCUUUGGAGAUAUUGUUUUCUCCUCAUUACAUUUCAAAAGACGUUUGAUUAUCUGUUGAAGAAGCAUGCACAUUCUGAUUUCUGGGCAAUUUCUCCCUAAUUAUAUAAGAUGGGAGAGCAGGCAAAAUGACAGAUGGGUCAUUUGAGUGAUCUGGAGACGGAGAGAUUCAUUUCCCCAAUGAUCCCGACACCAAAAGACAGACAACAAAGUGUGUCAUCUGGACCGCAUUAGUAGUCUGUCUCAUUAUUUCGAUGGCGAACCCCCCCCGUAAAAAAAGAUGGAUCUGUAUUUGGAGCACAAUCCAAGAUUGGAGGUUUGUGGAAAGUAAACAAAUUUUAAUGAUGGCGAAAAAAAAACAACAUAUUAGACUCUCAAAUGUAAUGUUCCUGCAUUCCUUAACUGCAAAACUUUUUUGCAGAACCAGCUGCAACCAACGGCACAAGAUAAGCCUUUAAAGCUGCGGUAGCCUCAACCAGUGUUUGCAACUAUGAGCACUUUCAUCACGAUUCUGACAAAAGCCAAAGUUGGGCUUACUUUUGCUUAGUUAUGCAAAGGCAUAAAAAGGGCUCAUUGUCCCCUACGUCAUCCUUCGGCAUGACAUUUAUCCGGG
Long non-coding RNA from Gasterosteus aculeatus aculeatus (three-spined stickleback), 4527 nucleotides. Lineage: Eukaryota; Metazoa; Chordata; Actinopteri; Perciformes; Gasterosteidae. The record is from Ensembl.